This 253-nucleotide ribosomal RNA is filed under the name uncultured bacterium. RNAcentral's name for it is "partial 16S ribosomal RNA". It matches the Rfam family "Bacterial small subunit ribosomal RNA", at positions 524 to 776 of the family's 1533-position model. The record is from RNAcentral.
UACAGAGGGGGCAAGCGUUGUUCGGAAUUACUGGGCGUAAAGGGCGCGUAGGCGGCCCGCUAAGUCGAACGUGAAAUCCCUGGGCUCAACCCAGGAACUGCGUCCGAUACUGGCAGGCUUGAAUCCGGGAGAGGGAAGCGGAAUUCCAGGUGUAGCGGUGAAAUGCGCAGAUAUCGGGAGGAACACCAGUGGCGAAGGCGGCACUCUGGGCCGGAACUGACGCUGAGGAGCGAAAGCGUGGGGAGCGAACAGG